CGAACGCGGUGAACUGAAACAUCUAAGUAACCGCAGGAAAAGAAAUCAACCGAGAUUCCCAAAGUAGUGGCGAGCGAAAUGGGAAGAGCCUGUACUCUUUAUUUGUAUUGUUAGCCGAACGCUCUGGAAAGUGCGGCCAUAGCAGGUGAUAGCCCUGUAGGCGAAAACAGUAUGAAAGAACUAGGUGUACGACAAGUAGGGCGGGACACGUGAAAUCCUGUCUGAAGAUGGGGGGACCAUCCUCCAAGGCUAAAUACUCGUGAUCGACCGAUAGUGAACCAGUACCGUGAGGGAAAGGCGAAAAGAACCCCGGGAGGGGAGUGAAAUAGAUCCUGAAACCGCAUGCAUACAAACAGUCGGAGCCUCUUCGGGGGUGACGGCGUACCUUUUGUAUAAUGGGUCAGCGACUUACGUUCAGUAGCAAGCUUAACCGAAUAGGGCAGGCGUAGCGAAAGCGAGUCCGAAUAGGGCGUUCAGUUGCUGGGCGUAGACCCGAAACCAGGUGAUCUAUCCAUGGCCAGGAUGAAGGUGCGGUAACACGUACUGGAGGUCCGAACCCACUAACGUUGAAAAGUUAGGGGAUGAGCUGUGGAUAGGGGUGAAAGGCUAAACAAACCUGGAAAUAGCUGGUUCUCUCCGAAAACUAUUUAGGUAGUGCCUCGUGUCUCACCUUCGGGGGUAGAGCACUGUCAUGGUUGGGGGGUCUAUUGCAGAUUACCCCGCCAUAGCAAACUCCGAAUACCGAAGAGUGCAAUCACGGGAGACAGACAUCGGGUGCUAACGUCCGGUGUCAAGAGGGAAACAACCCAGACCGCCAGCUAAGGUCCCCAAAUAUGGCUAAGUGGGAAACGAAGUGGGAAGGCUAAAACAGUCAGGAGGUUGGCUUAGAAGCAGCCACCCUUUAAAGAAAGCGUAAUAGCUCACUGAUCGAGUCGUCCUGCGCGGAAGAUGUAACGGGGCUAAGCCAUAUACCGAAGCUGCGGAUGCGAGCUAGUCUCGCAUGGUAGGAGAGCGUUCCGUAAGCCUGCGAAGGUGCGUUGAAAAGCGUGCUGGAGGUAUCGGAAGUGCGAAUGCUGACAUGAGUAGCGAUAAAGGGGGUGAAAGGCCCCCUCGCCGUAAGCCCAAGGUUUCCUACGCAACGUUCAUCGGCGUAGGGUGAGUCGGCCCCUAAGGCGAGGCAGAAAUGCGUAGCUGAUGGGAAGCAGGUCAAUAUUCCUGCACCGUCGUUAGAUGCGAUGGGGGGACGGAUCGCGGAAGGUUGUCCGGGUGUUGGAAGUCCCGGUCGCUGCAUUGGAGAAGGCGCUUAGGCAAAUCCGGGCGCAGGAUUCAAGGGUGUGGCGCGAGCGCUCUAGGGCGCGAAGCAAUUGGAAGUGGUUCCAAGAAAAGCCUCUAAGCUUCAGUCUAACGAUGACCGUACCGCAAACCGACACAGGUGGGCGAGAUGAGUAUUCUAAGGCGCUUGAGAGAACUCGGGAGAAGGAACUCGGCAAAUUGGUACCGUAACUUCGGGAUAAGGUACGCCCUGGUAGCUUGACUGGCCUGCGCCAGAAGGGUGAAGGGGUUGCAAUAAACUGGUGGCUGCGACUGUUUAAUAAAAACACAGCACUCUGCAAACACGAAAGUGGACGUAUAGGGUGUGACGCCUGCCCGGUGCCGGAAGAUUAAAUGAUGGGGUGCAAGCUCUUGAUUGAAGUCCCGGUAAACGGCGGCCGUAACUAUAACGGUCCUAAGGUAGCGAAAUUCCUUGUCGGGUAAGUUCCGACCUGCACGAAUGGCGUAACGAUGGCCACACUGUCUCCUCCCGAGACUCAGCGAAGUUGAAGUGUUUGUGAUGAUGCAAUCUACCCGCGGCUAGACGGAAAGACCCCAUGAACCUUUACUGUAGCUUUGCAUUGGACUUUGAACCGAUCUGUGUAGGAUAGGUGGGAGGCUAUGAAACCGGAACGCUAGUUUCGGUGGAGCCGUCCUUGAAAUACCACCCUGGUUUGUUUGAGGUUCUAACCUUGGCCCGUGAUCCGGGUCGGGGACAGUGCAUGGUAGGCAGUUUGACUGGGGCGGUCUCCUCCCAAAGCGUAACGGAGGAGUACGAAGGUACGCUAGGUACGGUCGGAAAUCGUGCUGAUAGUGCAAUGGCAUAAGCGUGCUUAACUGCGAGACCGACAAGUCGAGCAGGUGCGAAAGCAGGUCAUAGUGAUCCGGUGGUUCUGUAUGGAAGGGCCAUCGCUCAACGGAUAAAAGGUACUCUGGGGAUAACAGGCUGAUACCGCCCAAGAGUUCAUAUCGACGGCGGUGUUUGGCACCUCGAUGUCGGCUCAUCUCAUCCUGGGGCUGUAGCCGGUCCCAAGGGUAUGGCUGUUCGCCAUUUAAAGAGGUACGUGAGCUGGGUUUAAAACGUCGUGAGACAGUUUGGUCCCUAUCUGCCGUGGGCGUUGGAAGUUUGAAGGGGGCUGCUCCUAGUACGAGAGGACCGGAGUGGACGAACCUCUGGUGUACCGGUUGUGACGCCAGUCGCAUCGCCGGGUAGCUAUGUUCGGAAGAGAUAACCGCUGAAAGCAUCUAAGCGGGAAACUCGCCUUAAGAUGAGACUUCCCCGGGGACUUGAUCCCCUUGAAGGGUCGUUCGAGACCAGGACGUUGAUAGGUCGGGUGUGUAAGCGCAGUAAUGCGUUCAGCUAACCGAUACUAAUUGCCCGUACGGCUUGAUC
Molecule: ribosomal RNA, 2704 nt
Filed under: Burkholderia pseudomallei NCTC 13178
Lineage: Bacteria; Pseudomonadati; Pseudomonadota; Betaproteobacteria; Burkholderiales; Burkholderiaceae
Description: bacterial LSU rRNA
Rfam family: Bacterial large subunit ribosomal RNA
Source: RNAcentral